Long non-coding RNA from Haplochromis burtoni (Burton's mouthbrooder), 618 nucleotides. RefSeq lists it as uncharacterized. The record is from RefSeq and is a predicted model, not a curated record. NCBI's taxonomy places the organism in Eukaryota, Metazoa, Chordata, Actinopteri, Cichliformes, Cichlidae. The transcript has 3 exons.
ACUUGGACCGGCGGCCGCCUCGGGUCUCUUUUCCUUCUGCGUCCCUUUUCCUUCAUCCACCUGCUGGCCUCCACCACUUGCGUUACUGAAUCUGUGGAAGCCAUUAAGGAUCAAAUCAACUUCUGAAAAAUGUUCUGUUUUUUCUCCCUCUGCUUGCUUCUUACUGUCUUUGAGGCUCGGGACCAGCACUCCUGCUGUUGGACAGAAAGACAUCAACUUGAGAUAUGACUGCACUAUGCUGUUGCUGGUGACUCCAGUUAAUUCUACAAGACAUGCUGUGACACCAGGAGAGAUGAGUCCUCCGUCACAGAUGGUGUGGUCAGUGAAGAUGGUCGCCUGCAGGUUCAAGCUCAUUGCAUCUCCAACCCACAUCCACUGCCACUGUACUUAAGGGAAGUUAAAGACUUUCUUCUGCACCUACAUUUGGAUCACCUCGAUCCAUGACAGUCAUUCAGCAGUAAUGCCUGGACUGGAAACAAGCAUCCUUAAAACAUUACAACAUUCCAGCUCCUGUGUUGGAAUGAAAAACAAAUGUGUUGUUUAAAUCAGAGACUGCACUUGUGACAGAACAACAAAUAUUUUAUUUUGAUUAUAUAAGUAAGUACAAAACAAACUUGU